This 439-nucleotide ribosomal RNA is filed under the name uncultured bacterium. RNAcentral describes it as "bacterial SSU rRNA". It matches the Rfam family "Bacterial small subunit ribosomal RNA", at positions 355 to 786 of the family's 1533-position model. The record is from RNAcentral.
UAGGGAAUUUUCGUCAAUGGGGGGAACCCUGAACGAGCAAUGCCGCGUGUGUGAAGAAGGUCUUCGGAUCGUAAAGCACUGUUGUAAGUGAAGAAUGCCACAUAGAGGAAAUGCUAUGUGGGUGACGGUAGCUUACCAGAAAGCCACGGCUAACUACGUGCCAGCAGCCGCGGUAAUACGUAGGUGGCAAGCGUUAUCCGGAAUCAUUGGGCGUAAAGGGUGCGUAGGUGGCACGAUAAGUCUGAAGUAAAAGGCAACAGCUCAACUGUUGUAUGCUUUGGAAACUGUCGAGCUAGAGUGCAGAAGAGGGCGAUGGAAUUCCAUGUGUAGCGGUAAAAUGCGUAGAUAUAUGGAGGAACACCGGUGGCGAAAGCGGCUCUCUGGUCUGUAACUGACGCUGAGGCUCGAAAGCGUGGGGGAGCGAACAGGAUUAGAUACC